AAAUUGAAGAGUUUGAUCAUGGCUCAGAUUGAACGCUGGCGGCAGGCCUAACACAUGCAAGUCGAACGGUAACAGGAAGCAGCUUGCUGCUUCGCUGACGAGUGGCGGACGGGUGAGUAAUGUCUGGGAAACUGCCUGAUGGAGGGGGAUAACUACUGGAAACGGUAGCUAAUACCGCAUAACGUCGCAAGACCAAAGAGGGGGACCUUAGGGCCUCUUGCCAUCGGAUGUGCCCAGAUGGGAUUAGCUAGUAGGUGGGGUAACGGCUCACCUAGGCGACGAUCCCUAGCUGGUCUGAGAGGAUGACCAGCCACACUGGAACUGAGACACGGUCCAGACUCCUACGGGAGGCAGCAGUGGGGAAUAUUGCACAAUGGGCGCAAGCCUGAUGCAGCCAUGCCGCGUGUAUGAAGAAGGCCUUCGGGUUGUAAAGUACUUUCAGCGGGGAGGAAGGGAGUAAAGUUAAUACCUUUGCUCAUUGACGUUACCCGCAGAAGAAGCACCGGCUAACUCCGUGCCAGCAGCCGCGGUAAUACGGAGGGUGCAAGCGUUAAUCGGAAUUACUGGGCGUAAAGCGCACGCAGGCGGUUUGUUAAGUCAGAUGUGAAAUCCCCGGGCUCAACCUGGGAACUGCAUCUGAUACUGGCAAGCUUGAGUCUCGUAGAGGGGGGUAGAAUUCCAGGUGUAGCGGUGAAAUGCGUAGAGAUCUGGAGGAAUACCGGUGGCGAAGGCGGCCCCCUGGACGAAGACUGACGCUCAGGUGCGAAAGCGUGGGGAGCAAACAGGAUUAGAUACCCUGGUAGUCCACGCCGUAAACGAUGUCGACUUGGAGGUUGUGCCCUUGAGGCGUGGCUUCCGGAGCUAACGCGUUAAGUCGACCGCCUGGGGAGUACGGCCGCAAGGUUAAAACUCAAAUGAAUUGACGGGGGCCCGCACAAGCGGUGGAGCAUGUGGUUUAAUUCGAUGCAACGCGAAGAACCUUACCUGGUCUUGACAUCCACAGAACUUUCCAGAGAUGGAUUGGUGCCUUCGGGAACUGUGAGACAGGUGCUGCAUGGCUGUCGUCAGCUCGUGUUGUGAAAUGUUGGGUUAAGUCCCGCAACGAGCGCAACCCUUAUCCUUUGUUGCCAGCGGUCCGGCCGGGAACUCAAAGGAGACUGCCAGUGAUAAACUGGAGGAAGGUGGGGAUGACGUCAAGUCAUCAUGGCCCUUACGACCAGGGCUACACACGUGCUACAAUGGCGCAUACAAAGAGAAGCGACCUCGCGAGAGCAAGCGGACCUCAUAAAGUGCGUCGUAGUCCGGAUUGGAGUCUGCAACUCGACUCCAUGAAGUCGGAAUCGCUAGUAAUCGUGGAUCAGAAUGCCACGGUGAAUACGUUCCCGGGCCUUGUACACACCGCCCGUCACACCAUGGGAGUGGGUUGCAAAAGAAGUAGGUAGCUUAACCUUCGGGAGGGCGCUUACCACUUUGUGAUUCAUGACUGGGGUGAAGUCGUAACAAGGUAACCGUAGGGGAACCUGCGGUUGGAUCACCUCCUUACCUUAAAGAA
Molecule: ribosomal RNA, 1552 nt
Filed under: Escherichia coli
Lineage: Bacteria; Pseudomonadati; Pseudomonadota; Gammaproteobacteria; Enterobacterales; Enterobacteriaceae
Description: bacterial SSU rRNA
Rfam family: Bacterial small subunit ribosomal RNA
Source: RNAcentral